This 433-nucleotide ribosomal RNA is filed under the name uncultured bacterium. Its description in RNAcentral is "partial 16S ribosomal RNA". It matches the Rfam family "Bacterial small subunit ribosomal RNA", at positions 29 to 507 of the family's 1533-position model. The record is from RNAcentral.
AACGAACGCUGGCGGCAUGCCUAACACAUGCAAGUCGAACGAGACCUUCGGGUCUAGUGGCGCACGGGUGCGUAACGCGUGGGAACCUGCCCUUAGGUUCGGAAUAACUCCCCGAAAGGGGUGCUAAUACCGGAUAAUGUCUUCGGACCAAAGAUUUAUCGCCUUUGGAUGGGCCCGCGUUGGAUUAGCUAGUUGGUGGGGUAAAAGCCUACCAAGGCGACGAUCCAUAGCUGGUCUGAGAGGAUGAUCAGCCACACUGGGACUGAGACACGGCCCAGACUCCUACGGGAGGCAGCAGUGGGGAAUAUUGGACAAUGGGCGAAAGCCUGAUCCAGCAAUGCCGCGUGAGUGAUGAAGGCCUUAGGGUUGUAAAGCUCUUUUACCCGGGAUGAUAAUGACAGUACCGGGAGAAUGAGCUCCGGCUAACUCCGUG